UCUAACCUAAGAGUUUGAUCCUGGCUCAGAACGAACGCUGGCGGCAUGCCUAACACAUGCAAGUCGAACGCUAUCUU
RNAcentral lists this ribosomal RNA (77 nucleotides) under Candidatus Puniceispirillum sp. TMED176. RNAcentral's name for it is "partial 16S ribosomal RNA". It matches the Rfam family "Bacterial small subunit ribosomal RNA", at positions 1 to 75 of the family's 1533-position model. RNAcentral also lists the same sequence under 1 other name. Lineage: Bacteria; Pseudomonadati; Pseudomonadota; Alphaproteobacteria; Puniceispirillales (SeqCode); Puniceispirillaceae (SeqCode). The record is from RNAcentral.